Molecule: ribosomal RNA, 442 nt
Filed under: uncultured bacterium
Lineage: Bacteria
Description: partial 16S ribosomal RNA
Rfam family: Bacterial small subunit ribosomal RNA
Source: RNAcentral
CCUACGGGAGGCAGCAGUGGGGAAUAUUGGGCAAUGGGCGCAAGCCUGACCCAGCAACGCCGCGUGAAGGAAGAAGGCUCUCGGGUUGUAAACUUCUUUUAAGAGGGAAGAGCAGAAGACGGUACCUCUUGAAUAAGCCACGGCUAACUACGUGCCAGCAGCCGCGGUAAUACGUAGGUGGCAAGCGUUGUCCGGAUUUACUGGGUGUAAAGGGCGUGCAGCCGGGAAGACAAGUCAGAUGUGAAAUCCCGCGGCUCAACCGCGGAACUGCAUUUGAAACUGUUUUUCUUGAGUACCGGAGAGGUCAUCGGAAUUCCUUGUGUAGCGGUGAAAUGCGUAGAUAUAAGGAAGAACACCAGUGGCGAAGGCAGAUGACUGGGCGGCAACUGACGGUGAGGCGCGAAAGCGUGGGGAGCAAACAGGAUUAGAUACCCCAGUAGUC